This 3236-nucleotide long non-coding RNA is filed under the name Orbicella faveolata. RNAcentral describes it as "uncharacterized LOC110046737". Lineage: Eukaryota; Metazoa; Cnidaria; Anthozoa; Scleractinia; Merulinidae. The record is from RNAcentral.
AUCAUCACAUAAACAACAGCCUCUGCCCUCCUCACCUGAGGGCAAACAAACUAAAUUCAGAGAAAAUUCGUAUGAUUUUUUUAAAAAUUUCAGAUGGGUGUCAAAUUUGAAAACUUGAAUAUUCCCGUUAAUCUUGACAUAACUGCGAUUAUGAAACCCACAAUUGGAUUGUAAGUUUGGACAUAUUUUUCAUAUUUACUUUUUAGCUGUUAAAUCGUUUAAGGUAGUGUAACUCAAUUACCUUGAACAAGUAAAAAAUGAUUGCGUCUUUGUAGCAAUUGAAAAAAGAAAAACAAAAAGCAUAAAACAGAUGAACAAUGUUUUGGAUUUUAUCAUGCAUAGGUUUGUUUGUUUUGAGUCGGGGCAAUUUUACGCAAAGUCCUCAUCUCAUUAGAGCACAAUCAGACCUAACUUGUCAGAUAUGCAAUCAGCACUACAGUAAACAGAGCCGCUUUCCAGUGUCAUACCACUUCAAUUAUUACACGUGCGGAAAGGAAUGCUGAACUUGGAAAGUUAACUAUGUUGCCGUUUUCCACUGUGAGAACAUCAAGCUGACCUGACGUGAAGAAUACUGAGCACGAGAACGACCCUUAACAGUAACACUUUAACCAGAUGGAAUCACUUAUGACUGAACAUCAGGGGAAAGUAUGUUUGGAGAAACAUUGAUUUUCAUUAUUGAUUGCUAUAAACGGGAAAUCUCAGUGAUGUGAUGAUAUCUUUUCAAAGCCAUGCGAUUACCUAAAAACCCAAGGAAGCGUGGUUACAAAAUCACAAAACACCAGGGAAUGCAAGAUGCGUAAAAAAGAAAGAAAGAAAGAAAGAAAGAAAGAAAGAAAGAAAGAAAGAAAGAAAGAAAGAAAGAAAGAAAGAAAGAAAGAAAGAAAGAAAGAAAGAAAGAAAGACGGAAGACGUGGUAAGACUCCAGCUCUCCUUUCUUUUAGGCUGAAAUGAUUGGUCCUCCGUUCGAGCUUUAUUCAAACCCUGGCGUUCGCAUUCACCGGGUUAACAAAGCAAGACAUUCUCCUCGUGAGAAUCUCAAAAAAAAAAAAAAAAGAAGAAGAACACGUGAAAAAUACGGCACGAACACGUGAAAGAGGGUUCUCGAAGCCACGCAAUUUCGUGAAAUCCAAUCACGUCAAUUCCUAGUGUCUUAUCAUUUCCAUUUUGGUUCCAACCCAAUCUUCUUAUUAAAAAGAAAUUCCAGCGAAUGCUUAUGUGGCCCCGUAAUUAGGUUGAGCAAGAGAGAGAGAGAGAGAAAAAAAGAGAAUCCCGAGAAUUUUUUGUUUUAAAAGUUGGUUCCUCAAAAAAAAAAGCUUGGUACGCACACUGAAGUAUUUGUUUUUGGCAAAUAAUCUUUUGACCUCAAAAGCUACUGUGCUAGCGGGAAGGGCAUUAUCUGAACGCUUCAUGGAAGGAAGAGCUUAAAGGCAAAAAGUUGGUAGGCUAGUAUGCUGAUUUUAAGUCAUGUUUUAUAUUUUACAAAAUAGACAGUGAGGUAAUUGAACACUGACAUGAUAAGAAAAAACGUCCUAGUGAGAGUGUACGUGUCUUGUAAACCACGUGGAAGAGUCAAAAUACUUUCAGGAAGACGGGGGACUCGAGAUUGAAACAUCGUAAUUAAAUAUGUUGUGAGAUCCUACUGAGACAGCCUUGAACAUAUCCUUUCUAUUUUGAUACCGAUCCAGUUUCCUCAUCAAAAGCAUUCCGCUGUUUUUGUGUGGGACCGGAUGUCCAAUUUAUAAAUAAUAACCCGACAGUAAUCAACUGUCCUGAGAAGUUUACUGCAAUGAUGUUUUUGUUCCUGAUUAUUUAAAAAUAAAUUUGAUAUUGCUCUCGGCUAGCAGAAAACUAUCAUGGCAGGACUUGUGGUCGUGAUAAUUAGGUAAUGAAUGUAUGGCUUUGGAUGUCACUAACUGAAUAAAUGAGUUCUUUAUCGCGAUGCCAAGCUAUAUUCUCAUCGAUUGGGUUGUGGUUUUCGGUAUCUGUAUAGCUGGAGGAUAGAUAGCUGCCUUAACACGUCGAUAUUUCCUGAUUAACACGAUACUUACAAGCAGGGGAGCAUGUAAUGUAAAUUAAGAGUUUCGUUGGUGAAAGCUGCCCUCUAAGGCACAAAGGGCCUGCUUGGCUUGCAAGUUGUUUUACAAAUUCUAGUGACUCGACUUCGUAUUUCUGAUGUUAUCAUCUAUACAUGCACGUUAUAAGCAAAAAAAGGCAAACACACAAACGAAUAAACAAACAAACCAAAAACUAAAAUCAAAGCAUAGGACCUUCAAAAAUGUGCUCACGCAGACAACAUCCUAUCCAUCAAACCCAAAACAAGAGUCUUUGAUCAUCGUCUCUUGCCCAAAGCCAAAUUUAAUUACGAUGUAUCAAAUUUAGUCAGGGAGUUUCUGCGAAUAGCUUUAUAAUUUAAACUUAAAAACGAACAAUGCUCACGUUAUCCACAUUGCAUUAAAACGGCACUGAGACAUAGAAAGCAUUGACUGAUUUUUUUUCAGACAGUGAACAUGGCUGACAGACCUGUUGACAGACCUGAUGUUUUCACUCUCUUGUUUAGGGCGCAUCGCUCACACAGUCAGUCAGAUGAUUAAAUCAAUUAUGGAAUUAGAUAGUACGUUGAUUAAAGAAUGUGACAUUGGAAUAAUGGCUGAAUCAAGAAAGCAGCUUAGUUAACCCUUAGUAAAAGAGCCGGGGAUUUAAAAAAAAAAAAAAAAAAACAGAACAAAAUAUAGCCAUUUAAAAAGGCUGUUAACUUUCAAAAGAUCAUUACUUCUGUCAGGACAAGCUAAACAAAUUCCAAAACAGGUUAAUUUAUAUAAAAGCACGGCCUCUUACAGCGUUCAGGAUCUCUCUUUGCUCAUUAUAUAAUUUCUCUAGAGCAUUAUUUUGUGUUGAACAAAUGAUUAGUAUUUUAUGGGAGCUCCGCUUUUAGGUCUGGCUAAAUCUAUAUAUUAUGCCGGACGUUUCAAUUUUCUUUUUCACAUGGGGUUAUUUCUCUAAAUUUGUGAUGAUAGGAUCGAUAAACGUUUUUCAUUCAUGCUUUUAAGUUGCCACGCUUCCUCCAAUAGCACAAACACACGUGCAACUCACAAUCCUUACCAAGAACUUACGCUCAAAACGACAACUUGACAAACUCUCUACACCGGUCAAGUUUGCUUCAUCAACUUCAAGUUGAUGAAUGGUUACGGGUUUCAUUCGCCCGUCGACGCAGGCGGGAGGCCGGGGGGGGGGGUAUU